Molecule: unclassified non-coding RNA, 148 nt
Organism: Macaca fascicularis (crab-eating macaque)
Lineage: Eukaryota; Metazoa; Chordata; Mammalia; Primates; Cercopithecidae
Rfam family: Metazoan signal recognition particle RNA
About the family: The signal recognition particle (SRP) is a universally conserved ribonucleoprotein. It is involved in the co-translational targeting of proteins to membranes. The eukaryotic SRP consists of a 300-nucleotide 7S RNA and six proteins: SRPs 72, 68, 54, 19, 14, and 9.
Source: Ensembl
GCUGGGCAUGGUGGUGCAUGCCUGUAAUCCCAGCUACUUGGGAUGCUGAGGUAGGAGAAUUGCUCGAAUCCAGGAGGUGGAGGUUGCGGUGAGCUGAGAUUACACCACUGUACUCCAGCCUGGGUGACAGAGCAAGAUUCUAUCUCAA